This is a long non-coding RNA of Coccinella septempunctata (seven-spotted ladybird), 674 nucleotides long. RefSeq lists it as uncharacterized. The transcript is spliced from 2 exons. Lineage: Eukaryota; Metazoa; Arthropoda; Insecta; Coleoptera; Coccinellidae. The record is from RefSeq and is a predicted model, not a curated record.
GAUUACUAAUAGAAAAAUUGACGGGAGGUUGGGAGAUUCGAAAGAAAACAACACAUUUAAACCCAAACAAGAAACGUUUAUUUCGGGUUUCAUUGGAGACGAUUUCCAAUGUCAUAGCUCUAGGGCGCAGCAGAGGGGAGGAAAAAGAGCUGCGAGAAAACCUCCCCUUAGAACAGCAACAACUACAUACUCUACUAUACAGGUAUGAUUUUACGUAGCUACGGCAACAGGUUCAACUGGCGAGAGAAAAUCUCAUGUGAAAUGCACACUUGGUGGAAUCAGUUACAUCUACAGCUAUCAGCUCCUUAAUGAUGACUCUUAACCGAUACUUCAGUGAGAUGGGUCACGUUACAGCAUACAACAGUUCUGAAUUGGGUAGGGUUCAGUCAGGGGGUUGUUGGAAGGAUUAGACUCAGAUGCAAGGGCAUCCAGCCUAAAGGGUUGGAGACGCAGUUACAAUGGUACCCGGCCUCAGGGGAGAGAGACGCAGCUGCAAGGGCAUCCGGCCUCAGAAAUCGACGCAGGUACAAGGGUACCCGGCCUGCAGGAUACUAGGAAGGGCAAAAUCCACAAAAGUUGUAUGUUUGUCCCGUAACACAAAUAUGAAUUAUUUCCGCUCCUGGCUAUCACGUUCAAAUAUGUCCUGUAUUGACCAACUCCACCAGUGAAGAGAA